UCCGAAGAUGUCGGCGGGAGCCUCGGGAAGAGUUAUCUUUUCUGUUUAACAGCCUGCCCACCCUGGAAUCGGCUCAGCCUGAGGUAGGGUCCAGCGGCUCGAAGAGCACCGCACAUCGCAUGGUGUCCGGUGCUCCCCUGGCGGCCCUUGAAAAUCCGGA
This 160-nucleotide non-coding RNA is filed under the name Solanum lycopersicum (tomato). RNAcentral describes it as "Eukaryotic large subunit ribosomal RNA". It matches the Rfam family "Eukaryotic large subunit ribosomal RNA", at positions 1658 to 1817 of the family's 3401-position model. Lineage: Eukaryota; Viridiplantae; Streptophyta; Magnoliopsida; Solanales; Solanaceae. The record is from Rfam by way of RNAcentral.